UGGGGAAUAUUGCACAAUGGGCGCAAGCCUGAUGCAGCCAUGCCGCGUGUAUGAAGAAGGCCUUCGGGUUGUAAAGUACUUUCAGCGGGGAGGAAGGGAGUAAAGUUAAUACCUUUGCUCAUUGACGUUACCCGCAGAAGAAUCACCGGCUAACUCCGUGCCAGCAGCCGCGGUAAUACGGAGGGUGCAAGCGUUAAUCGGAAUUACUGGGCGUAAAGCGCACGCAGGCGGUUUGUUAAGUCAGAUGUGAAAUCCCCGGGCUCAACCUGGGAACUGCAUCUGAUACUGGCAAGCUUGAGUCUCGUAGAGGGGGGUAGAAUUCCAGGUGUGGCGGUGAAAUGCGUAGAGAUCUGGAGGAAUACCGGUGGCGAAGGCGGCCCCCUGGACGAAGACUGACGCUCAGGUGCGAAAGCGUGGGGAGCAAACAGG
RNAcentral lists this ribosomal RNA (429 nucleotides) under Chloroflexota bacterium. RNAcentral's name for it is "Chloroflexi bacterium partial 16S ribosomal RNA". It matches the Rfam family "Bacterial small subunit ribosomal RNA", at positions 355 to 776 of the family's 1533-position model. Lineage: Bacteria; Bacillati; Chloroflexota. The record is from RNAcentral.